Molecule: small nuclear RNA, 193 nt
Organism: Peromyscus eremicus (cactus mouse)
Lineage: Eukaryota; Metazoa; Chordata; Mammalia; Rodentia; Cricetidae
Product: U2 spliceosomal RNA
Exons: 1
Source: RefSeq, a predicted model, not a curated record
AUUGCUUCUCGGCCUUUUGGCUAAGAUCAAGUGUAGUAUCUGGAGUGCAAGCCUGACUAACCUGAGUUUGAAUUCAAGACUACAUUAAGUAACUAAUCUUUGCAAAUGUCUAUGGUAAGUAUUUGUAGACCAGGAACUCAUUCUAUUAGAUUAGUGGGAGCCAUCACCAAUCACCCAUCUCUGGAUAUCCUCU